AUACGGAGGGUCCAAGCGUUAUCCGGAUUCAUUGGGUUUAAAGGGUCCGCAGGCGGGAAAAUAAGUCAGUGGUGAAAGCCUACAGCUCAACUGUAGAACUGCCAUUGAAACUGUUUUUCUUGAGUAUAGAUGAAGUGGGCGGAAUAUAUCAUGUAGCGGUGAAAUGCAUAGAUAUGAUAUAGAACACCGAUUGCGAAGGCAGCUCACUAAACUAUUACUGACGCUCAGGGACGAAAGCGUGGGGAGCGAACAGGAGUAGAAACCCCAGUAGUCC
RNAcentral lists this ribosomal RNA (274 nucleotides) under uncultured bacterium. Its description in RNAcentral is "partial 16S ribosomal RNA". It matches the Rfam family "Bacterial small subunit ribosomal RNA", at positions 523 to 796 of the family's 1533-position model. The record is from RNAcentral.